This 3345-nucleotide long non-coding RNA is filed under the name Lathyrus oleraceus (garden pea). RNAcentral's name for it is "Pisum sativum (pea) long non-coding RNA (PSAT_LNC010944)". The record is from RNAcentral. Lineage: Eukaryota; Viridiplantae; Streptophyta; Magnoliopsida; Fabales; Fabaceae.
UCAUGGGCACAAGUUUGUGGCUCUCACUUCAGCUUCCUCUUCCUUUCAUUGUAAAUUUCAUUUUGAGACAAGUAGAUCAUUUCUUUGUCUUCAUUCGCCACAAAUAUUUUCAAUAAAAGGUACGUUUGUGAAAUGUUUUAUGAGUUGAUAUGUUGUUGUUGUUCAAAAUAUUUGCCUCGUUUUUUAAUUCCAGUUGAGUUUAUUAUAUCGUAUGUAGAUGGCUUGUUUCACUAACUCCUUACUAAACACCCAUUCAUUUAAAUUGAUUUAAAAAUGAUAAUCUGAAAAAUUAGGUUAUGUUUUAAAACCAACUUAGGUGGAUCAAUGUUUUUCGAAUUGCAUGCAUCUUGUAAUUCAACUCUGGUUCUUUAACAUAUAUAAUUUGGUUCAAUUCCCCAAGUUCUUCAAAACAAUGAUUCAUUUUCUUCUAUUUUAUAUUGUAAAACAUCAAAUUUGUUGAUAAGUUUUGAAUAAUCUUCAUCAUUGUCAUCAUAAUAAUCAUCAUCAUCGAUUAAAAUAAUGAUGAUGAUAGUGGUGAUGAUGACUCAAAAUUAGUCAACAAAUUGAUGCUUUGCUAAAUAAACUAUAAGAUAAUGAACUUUUAUUUGAAGAACUUGGGGCAUUGAACCAAAUUCUAUAUGUUAAAGAGCGAGAGAUGAAUUACAAAAUGCAUGCAAUUCAAAAAACAGUGGAGCGUCUAAGUUGUUUUCCAAGAAUACUUUAAUUUUUCAUAUUAUUAUCUUCUAAAUCAAUUUGAAUCUUCUAAAUCAAUUUGAAUAGUUGUAUAUGUUUAUUGAGGGGUAAGAAAAAACAAGCAAUCUACAUAUUUUAUAAACCACCACUGUUGGAAUAUAUAACCGUGGUGAAAUGUUAAAUUUAUCACACUUUAAUUAAAUUGUUGUUGCUGGAUUUCAAACCCAUGACACACCCCAAAGGGGUGGGGCCCACAGGAAAAAAAAAAAAAGGGAAAAGGGGUUUUUGGUUUUUUUGUUUUUUUUUAAAUUUUUGCCAAAUUUAAACUAAAUACCCUAAAAAAAAAACCAUCCCCCCAUUUAGAAAUUUAAUUGUUGUAAAAGAAAAAAGUGGAAUUUGUAAGAUUUUAAUAAAAAUUAACUUUUAUUAAUAAUAAGAAGAAAUAUAAAUUAAAAUAAUGAAAAUAACAAAAAAAUUAUGAAUAUUUAAAGCAUAAUAGAAGUGUUACAUUAAUCAUUCAUUGAUAUAGUAAAAAAACAUACAUUUUAGUAAAAAAAAAAUAUAUUAUUACUAGAUGUAAAUAAUCAACACAAUAUAUAUUUUUAUAUUUUUUUAUUAUAACGUUCAGAUGUUAAAUUAUCAAUUUUAUUAAAUACAUCACUAUUAAAUUUCUACACGCGUUUUUAUAUAAAUAUUUUUUUAUUUCUUAACUUAAUAAUAACAUCCUUGAAUUUUUAAUAUUGUUAAAAACUUAAAAUGACAUGAUAAAUUAUAAUUGUUAUAUAUUUUUUUAUUCAAAAUACGGAUAAAUGAUAUGAGUGUGGGUACUUAAAUACUCUCAAAGUACGAGGAGAGAUACAAGAAUUGAUGCUCAAGCAGGUAUGAGAUAUGGUAGGAUGAUUUUUUUAAAAUUGCGGGUAUGAGGACAAGGAAAUAGACCAUGCCCAAACCUUGCACGUUAUUAUCCAUAAUUUUUGUCAUAGUAUCUUAAAUAAAUUUUAGAAAAGAUGUCAAAUAUAAUAUGAUUAAGUUUUUCUUUUAAACAAUCUUAUAUUUAUAUAUAUUUUAUCAAAAAAAUCACGCUUUUAAUGAGAAUUUUAGGUUAAUUAAUUGUACCUAGAUUAUUUACUAGGUCUUAAGAGGGAUAAUUGAUGAAGAAGAAGAAAAGUCAAACACACUAACAACGGAUAAACAUCCAAACAAAACCAUAAGUCGCCCUUAUUAGCACAGGUCAUCGCUAAGCAGCACCAGGGAUUGCCUGAAAUAACCAAAAGUCGUCUUUUAAGGCCUAGGCCACCUGAACUGGUUUUAUUUAAUCAUUCACUUAAUAAACAUGGUUGAUGAAGUGUCCUUAUAAUAAUAUAAGGAAGAGAUCAAUCAAUGAGAAAAUUGUCUCCCCACGAUUUAAGGUAGAAUGAGUCUCUUCUAUGACACGUUUCCAAUUAGAGAGUUAGAAAAACCUCUCUCUAACUAUCUAGUUAAGGUUCAAGAAUCCUCCAUAUAUAUAUUUCAUUCCUAAAUUGUAAAGGAUCUAAAAUAUCCAUAGAUAUUGCUUUUCACAAUCCCAUGUGAGCAAACCCUUAAUCAUGUUGUCACUACUAUGGAAAAUCCUCUCACAACGGUUGGAAAAUGGAUACCACCAUGCUUGAUCAACCAUGUGAGAUAAUGGAUGGUUGUAUGUAUGAACUUUUCCACCAUGGGCGUUUGCGAUUGUAAUAAACUAGGUAGCGCGCUACCUAUCACAACUGUUAUAUUAAAUAACCAUAUAUAUAUAUAUAUAUAUAUAUAUAUAUAAUAUAUAUAUAUAUAUAUAUAUAUAUAUAUAUAUAUAUAUAUAUAUAUAUAUAUAUAUAUAUAUAUAUAUAUAUAAUAUAUAUUAUAUAUAAUUAUAUAAUAUAUAUAUAUUAUAUAUAUGUAUAUAUAUAUAUNUAUAUAUAUAUAUAUAUAUAUAUAUAUAUAUAUAUGGUUAUUUAAUAUAACAGUUGUGAUAGGUAGCGCGCUACCUAGUUUAUUACAAUCGUCAAACGCCCAUGGUGGAAAAGUUCAUACAUACAACCAUCCAUUAUCUCACAUGGUUGAUCAAGCAUGGUGGUAUCCAUUUUCCAACCGUUGUGAGAGGGAUUUUCCAUAGUAGUGACAACAUGAUUAAGGGUUUGCUCACAUGGGAUUGUGAAAAGCAAUAUCUAUGGAUAUUUUAGAUCCCUUUACAAUUUUAGGAAUGAAAUAUAUAUAUGGAGGAUUCUUGAACCUUAACUAGAUAGUUAGAGAGAGGUUUUUCUAACUCUCUAAUUGGAAACGUGUCAUAGAAGAGACUCAUUCUACCUUAAAUCGUGGGGAGACAAUUUUCUCAUUGAUUGAUCUCUUCCUUAUAUUAUUAUAAGGACACUUCAUCAACCAUGUUUAUUAAGUGAAUGAUUAAAUAAAACCAGUUCAGGUGGCCUAGGCCUUAAAAGACGACUUUUGGUUUAUUUCAGGCAAUCCCUGGUGCUGCUUAGCGAUGACCUGUGCUAAUAAGGGCGACUUAUGGUUUUGUUUGGAUGUUUAUCCGUUGUUAGUGUGUUUGACUUUUCUUUCUUCUUCAUCAAUUAUCCCCUCUUAAGACCUAGUAAAAUUAUCUAGGUACAAUUAAUUAACCUAAAAUUCUCAUUAAAA